RNAcentral lists this transfer RNA (77 nucleotides) under Thermincola carboxydiphila. RNAcentral's name for it is "tRNA-His". It matches the Rfam family "tRNA". Rfam says of the family: Transfer RNA (tRNA) molecules are approximately 80 nucleotides in length. The record is from RNAcentral. Lineage: Bacteria; Bacillati; Bacillota; Clostridia; Eubacteriales; Thermincolaceae. RNAcentral also lists the same sequence under 2 other names.
GUGGCUGUAGUCAAGCGGUUCAAGACACAGGAUUGUGGCUCCUGCAUUCGUGGGUUCGAAUCCCAUCAGCCACCCCA